GGCGAGAUGGCCGAGCGGUCUAAGGCGCUGGUUUUAGGCACCAGUCCCUUCGGGGGCGUGGGUUCGAAUC
Molecule: transfer RNA, 70 nt
Filed under: Nippostrongylus brasiliensis
Lineage: Eukaryota; Metazoa; Nematoda; Chromadorea; Rhabditida; Heligmosomidae
Rfam family: tRNA
About the family: Transfer RNA (tRNA) molecules are approximately 80 nucleotides in length. Their secondary structure includes four short double-helical elements and three loops (D, anti-codon, and T loops).
Source: Rfam by way of RNAcentral